UGGGGAAUUUUGGACAAUGGGCGCAAGCCUGAUCCAGCCAUGCCGCGUGCGGGAAGAAGGCCUUCGGGUUGUAAACCGCUUUUGUCAGGGAAGAAAUCUUCUGAGUUAAUACCUCGGGAGGAUGACGGUACCUGAAGAAUAAGCACCGGCUAACUACGUGCCAGCAGCCGCGGUAAUACGUAGGGUGCAAGCGUUAAUCGGAAUUACUGGGCGUAAAGCGUGCGCAGGCGGUUUUGUAAGACAGAGGUGAAAUCCCCGGGCUCAACCUGGGAACCGCCUUUGUGACUGCAAGGCUUGAGUGCGGCAGAGGGGGAUGGAAUUCCGCGUGUAGCAGUGAAACGCGUAGAUAUGCGGAGGAACACCGAUGGCGAAGGCAAUCCCCUGGGCCUGCACUGACGCUCAUGCACGAAAGCGUGGGGAGCAAACAGGAUUAGAUACCCUGGUAGUCCACGCCCUAAAACGAUGUCAACUGGUUGUUGGGAAGGUUCCUUCUCGGUAACGUAGCUAACGCGUGAAGUUGACCGCCUGGGGAGUACGGCCGCAA
Molecule: ribosomal RNA, 544 nt
Filed under: uncultured bacterium
Lineage: Bacteria
Description: partial 16S ribosomal RNA
Rfam family: Bacterial small subunit ribosomal RNA
Source: RNAcentral